Molecule: transfer RNA, 75 nt
Filed under: Pyrobaculum calidifontis JCM 11548
Lineage: Archaea; Thermoproteati; Thermoproteota; Thermoprotei; Thermoproteales; Thermoproteaceae
Description: tRNA-Cys (GCA) (tRNA-Cys-GCA-1-1)
Rfam family: tRNA
About the family: Transfer RNA (tRNA) molecules are approximately 80 nucleotides in length. Their secondary structure includes four short double-helical elements and three loops (D, anti-codon, and T loops). Further hydrogen bonds mediate the characteristic L-shaped molecular structure. tRNAs have two regions of fundamental functional importance: the anti-codon, which is responsible for specific mRNA codon recognition, and the 3' end, to which the tRNAs corresponding amino acid is attached (by aminoacyl-tRNA synthetases). tRNAs cope with the degeneracy of the genetic code in two manners: having more than one tRNA (with a specific anti-codon) for a particular amino acid; and 'wobble' base-pairing, i.e. permitting non-standard base-pairing at the 3rd anti-codon position.
Source: RNAcentral
GCCCCGGUAGCUCAGCGUGGUUAGAGCGGCGGGCUGCAGACCCGUAGGUCCCGGGUUCAAAUCCCGGCCGGGGCU